UACGGCAGCAACAAGGAGACUAAUGCAUUGUCCUCCUUGUGCCAUGAAGCUCACAUGGGAGGGGCUGGCUCCAGCGGAUCGGAUCCUCAACAGACAGAAGUGAACUGGAAUGUGAACCAUUUACAGGAGGACAGUGCCCAAAUGAGGAGGGUGGGGAUUGUGGGUCUGGUGUGUGUGUGUGUGGGGGGGGGCUCUCCGUUGGCCAUCACCACCCGCUCUAAUUGCUUUCUGCUCUAGGUGGCCCGGACCCUGCAGGCAAGUAUCAACUGAGCUAGCAGCUUCCAACGUGUAACCCCUGCUCGGCUUCACCAGUCUGCCCUCUGCACCAUCAAAGCCUCUCUAGACCAUGAUCGUGGAGUGGACUGUCUGUGGACCAUCAUGGGUUCCUGUGGCAACAGCUCUAGAGGUUCUCUUGGGGCCGGCACGCCCCAGCUCCUCCCAUCUGGGCAGAUGCCGGACUCCCAAGCCCACCUUGGGAGGGAUUACUGACCCCUCAUCUGUGGUCCACCCUGAAGCCUUUCUCCUGGCCAUGGCCUCCCUGGGGGACUGUGGCUGUCCUAGGACCUGUGCUGGGUCAUUGUACGUGGCCUCCCCCACCGCCCCCAGAGAUUCCUUCACACAUGGACUUGGGGUGUGCCGGCAGGACUAGGAGGAGGCGCCUGCCCUGUCAGUACAAUGGAAAAUAAAGUCCUCUGCCGUUUGUCACCUUUGUGACUGUAUUUAACAGCAGUCCGAACCCAAGUGCGAACAUGACGUGUCUCGAUCCAAGACCUGGCAGUCAGGGCCAGCAGCACUGGACCAUUUCCGGAUUUGGUAAAUUGGGAGAUGGAGAUAAACGCCUGGAGCUAUGCUGGUGACUUCCUGGCAAACAUGUAAUUGGACUUCAGAUGCUUAGGAUAGAGAAUCAGAGCCCAUUUUAAAAUGGUAAGAGUAAUAGAAGAGACAGAGUGAGGGUAAGAAAACGGUUAUUAACUGCCAAAUAAAUCAGCAUGGAGAAGACUGGGCAAAAGUUGACCAUCCUGGGCUAGGUUAAGAGCCAAAGCCUCCCGUCUGGCUGUUUCCUUCCAACUUUUUUUUUUUUUUUUUUUAAGAUUUUAUUUUUAAGUAAUCUCUACACAAAAUGUGGGGCUCAAACCCACAACCCCAGGAUCAAGAGUCCCACAUUCCACCGACUGAGCCACCCAGGCGCCCCUGUACAUCGGUUUUUCAAGCCCACAUCCCCCAGGAGGGAGGUAUUUACUUGGUGUUAGCAGCCUGGCUGUGGUCCAGCACAGGCUCACCACUGGGAUUCCUUCUCACUCUUCAGAGGAGAGGGAGAGGAGAGGAUAGGAUUUACCAAAUCCAGUGUUCCCUGUCCUGACCAUUAGUCCGGAACCCAGCUCCCCGUGUCCCUUUAUGCCUCAUCGACUCCCUGGUCAAAAUAAGAGGGCAUAGAGUUGAAGUUGUCUUAUGGCAGUUUUCAAGAUUUUGAAAAGCCAAAUAGAAAUCAUGUCAUCAACGGUCUUAGCUCUCCAUUUAAGAAUACUGCUUCUAACUGAAGAUCUGACUGCCAGUGAAGAGAUUUCACUGUUAACACUGAGAAAAGGAAUGAACAUUUUGGCAAGCGUGGGUCCAAACAGGGUGGACCCUUUGCUUUCCUGAGCUUAGAAGCAACGCCAAGGCUCAAUGAUCCAAUAAAUAAUUUGCAGUGUUGCUGGAA
Molecule: long non-coding RNA, 1699 nt
Organism: Herpailurus yagouaroundi (jaguarundi)
Lineage: Eukaryota; Metazoa; Chordata; Mammalia; Carnivora; Felidae
Exons: 2
Source: RefSeq, a predicted model, not a curated record